Peromyscus californicus insignis is the source of this 510-nucleotide long non-coding RNA. RefSeq lists it as uncharacterized. The record is from RefSeq and is a predicted model, not a curated record. The transcript has 2 exons. Lineage: Eukaryota; Metazoa; Chordata; Mammalia; Rodentia; Cricetidae.
GCUAACACGCGGUCUCCCGGACGCAGGUCCUUCACCAGCUUGGUGCCACCCUGCUCCAGGUGCACUGUGGCGGAUCCCGGGAAGCAGCCCCCGGAUUUGGCCGCCACCGAGUUCUCUGCGAGGAAGAGAGAAGAGAGAGAGGGUGUUGAGUGCCAAAGGAGACAGCCUCGCCGCGAACCCAGAAGGAUAUUUACUCUCCACUUGGAUUCCUCAGGAAGCCUCCUUGAGCUCGCGCGGGCGCCGGGCACACCCUCCUCUCUCGCGCCUGGACAGCAGGGCGCGGCGCCUCCCAGUGCGCGGUGCAAGGAGGCUGCACCCGGGGAACCCGGGCCGCCCCCGCCUCCGGCUUCCCCAGUGAGGGCCUUGGUGUUGGCCAGUGGAUAGCCAGGGGGUGGGGAGCGAAAAAUAGCUGUAGUCGUUGUAGCAACUGGACAAACAUUCCAGAGGUUUGCCCGAGGUGUGAAAGCCCAAGACUUGUGUGGAUUUUCUAAUUAAAAUCCAAUAAAGAGC